This 437-nucleotide ribosomal RNA is filed under the name Lactiplantibacillus plantarum. Its description in RNAcentral is "bacterial SSU rRNA". It matches the Rfam family "Bacterial small subunit ribosomal RNA", at positions 368 to 798 of the family's 1533-position model. The record is from RNAcentral. Lineage: Bacteria; Bacillati; Bacillota; Bacilli; Lactobacillales; Lactobacillaceae.
GUCGUUGGUACGCGUCUGAUGGAGCACGCCGCGUGAGUGAAGAAGGGUUUCGGCUCGUAAAACUCUGUUGUUAAAGAAGAACAUAUCUGAGAGUAACUGUUCAGGUAUUGACGGUAUUUAACCAGAAAGCCACGGCUAACUACGUGCCAGCAGCCGCGGUAAUACGUAGGUGGCAAGCGUUGUCCGGAUUUAUUGGGCGUAAAGCGAGCGCAGGCGGUUUUUUAAGUCUGAUGUGAAAGCCUUCGGCUCAACCGAAGAAGUGCAUCGGAAACUGGGAAACUUGAGUGCAGAAGAGGACAGUGGAACUCCAUGUGUAGCGGUGAAAUGCGUAGAUAUAUGGAAGAACACCAGUGGCGAAGGCGGCUGUCUGGUCUGUAACUGACGCUGAGGCUCGAAAGUAUGGGUAGCAAACAGGAUUAGAUACCGGGUUAUUCCGA